UUGAUCUUGGCUCAGAACGAACGCUGGCGGCAGGCCUAACACAUGCAAGUCGAGCGCUCACUUCGGAAUUGGGAGCGGCGGACGGGUUAGUAACGUGGGAACAUACCCUUCUCUAAGGAAUAGCCACUGGAAACGGUCGAGUAAUACCUUAUACGCCCUUCGGGUGCGGAAAGAUUUAUCGGAGAUGGAUUGGCCCGCGUUAGAUUAGAUAGUUGGUGGGGUAAUGGCCUACCAAGUCUACGAUCUAUAGCUGGUUUUAGAGGAUGAUCAGCAACACUGGGACUGAGACACGGCCCAGACUCCUACGGGAGGCAGCAGUGGGGAAUCUUAGACAAUGGGCGAAAGCCUGAUCUAGCCAUGCCGCGUGAGUGACGAAGGCCUUAGGGUCGUAAAGCUCUUUCGCCAGGGAUGAUAAUGACAGUACCUGGUAAAGAAACCCGGCUAACUCCGUGCCAGCAGCCGCGGUAUACGGAAGGGGGUUAGCGUCAUGUUCGGAAUUACUGGGGGCGUAAAGCGCGCGUAGGCGGAUCAGAAAGUUGGGGGUGAAAUCCCAGGGCUCAAACCCUGGAACUGCCUCCCAAAACUCCUGGUCUUGAGUUCGAGAGAGGUGAGUGGAAUUCCGAGUGUAGAGGUGAAAUUCGUAGAUAUUCGGAGGAACACCAGUGGCGAAGGCGGCUCACUGGCUCGAUACUGACGCUGAGGUGCGAAAGUGUGGGGAGCAAACAGGAUAGAUACCCUGGUAGUCCACACCGUAAACGAUGAAUGCCGAGACGUCGGGCAGUAUACUGUUCGGUGUCACACCUAACGGAUUAAGCAUUCCGCCUGGGGAGUACGGUCGCAAGAUUAAACUCAAAGGAAUUGACGGGGGCCCGCACAAAUGGCGGUGGAGCAUGUGGUUUAAUUCGAAUGCAACGCGCAGAACCUUACCAACCCUUGACAUCCUGUGCUCAUCCAGAGAUGGAUGGUUCCCUUCGGGGUACGCAGUGACAGGUGCUGCAUGGCUGUCGUCAGCUCGUGUCGUGAGAUGUUCGGUUAAGUCCGGCAACGAGCGCAACCCACAUCUUUAGUUGCCAGCAGUUCGGCUGGGCACUCUAAAGAAACUGCCGUGAUAAGCGGGCAGGAAGGUGUGGAUGACGUCAAGUCCUCAUGGCCCUUACGGGUUGGGCUACACACGUGCUACAAUGGCAGUAGUGACAAUGGGUUAAUCAAAAAGCUAUCUCAGUUCGGAUUGGGGUCUGCAACUCGACCCCAUGAAGCUCGGAAUCGUAGUAAUCGCGUAACAGCAUGACGCGUGAAUACGUUCCCGGGCCUUGUACACACCGCCCAAGUCACACCAUGGGAGUUGGGUUCAUUGCCCGAAGGCCGUGAUGCGCCAACCUCUUCGGAGGGGGCAGCGGACCACGGUGAGCUCAGCGACUGGGGUGAAGUCGUAACAAGGUAGC
This 1442-nucleotide ribosomal RNA is filed under the name Sedimentitalea nanhaiensis. Its description in RNAcentral is "bacterial SSU rRNA". It matches the Rfam family "Bacterial small subunit ribosomal RNA". The record is from RNAcentral. Lineage: Bacteria; Pseudomonadati; Pseudomonadota; Alphaproteobacteria; Rhodobacterales; Paracoccaceae.